UCGCGAAAACUUCGCAAUAAGCGAAAGCUUGACGGGGUCAUCCCGAGUGCCAUCUGCUGAGGAUGGCUUUUACCCAGUAUAGAUAGCUGGGGGAAUAAGGAGAGGGCAAGUCUGGUGUCAGCCGCCGCGGUAAUACCAGCUCUCCGAGUUGUGGGGACGUUUAUUGAGCCUGAAGCAUCCGUAGCCGGCUGUGUAAGUCCUCUGUUAAAUCCAGCGACUAAUCGUUGGCCUGCGGGGGAUACUGCUCGGCUAGGGGGCGGGAGAGGCCGUCGGUAUUCUUGGGGUAGGGGUGAAAUCCUAUAAUCCCAGGAGGACCACCAGUGGCGAAGGCUGUCGGCUAGAACGCGCCCGACGGUGAGGGAUGAAAGCUGGGGGAGCGAACCGGAUUAGAUACCCGGGUAGUCCCAGCUGUAAACGAUGCAGGCUAGGUGUUAGGGCGGCUACGUGCCGCUCUAGUGCCGCAGGGAAGCUGUUAAGCCUGCCGCUUGGGGAGUACGGCCGCAAGGCUGAAACUUAAAGG
RNAcentral lists this ribosomal RNA (520 nucleotides) under uncultured archaeon. RNAcentral describes it as "bacterial SSU rRNA". It matches the Rfam family "Archaeal small subunit ribosomal RNA", at positions 339 to 862 of the family's 1478-position model. The record is from RNAcentral.